RNAcentral lists this microRNA precursor (75 nucleotides) under Myotis lucifugus (little brown bat). RNAcentral's name for it is "mir-9229 microRNA precursor family". It matches the Rfam family "mir-9229 microRNA precursor family". The record is from Rfam by way of RNAcentral. Lineage: Eukaryota; Metazoa; Chordata; Mammalia; Chiroptera; Vespertilionidae.
GAGACGCCCUAUUGGGGCAGGACUUGUUUCAGUGGGGCUUGGUGCUCACUGAGUCUUCCCCUUGUGUGUGUCUCU